RNAcentral lists this ribosomal RNA (418 nucleotides) under uncultured eukaryote. RNAcentral describes it as "bacterial SSU rRNA". It matches the Rfam family "Eukaryotic small subunit ribosomal RNA", at positions 194 to 590 of the family's 1831-position model. The record is from RNAcentral.
GGCGACGGCGUUCUCGCCGGAUGUAGGAACCGACCCGGGGACCGCCGGGGCAACCCGGCGCCCCCGAGACGGGGCGAACCACGGUGAAAUGACGGAUCGUCGGCCCCGCGCCGGCGACUCGCCGAAUGAGUUUCUGACCUAUCAACUCGAGACGGCGGGGUAGAGGCCCGCCGCGGUAACGACGGGUAACGGGGAAUCAGGGUUCGAUUCCGGAGAGGGAGCCCCGAGAAACGGCUACCACUUCCAAGGAAGGCAGCAGGCGCGCAACUUACCCUAAUCUCGAUUCGAGGAGGUAGUGACAAGAAAUACCGAUGCGGGACCCUACGGGUGCCGCGUUCGGAAUGAGUACGAUUCGAACCACCUAACGAGGAACGAUCGGAGGGCAAGUCUGGUGCCAGCAGCCGCGGUAAUUCCAGCU